UCCGCCCGUGAGGGAGCGCGCCGACUGGGCCUCGUCUACCUGGACACCGCGGCAGGGGCCCACGGCCCCUGUCUCUCGAAUUUAGGGUUCAUCUUCUGGAGGCCAGCAGGAGACUCAGGGAGCUGGGCACACAGGGUCCCACCAGGGGCCUCUAGUCUGGGACUGGCAGUGUCCCAAGCCACCACACAGUUUACAGUUCGCGAGACCCACGCUGUGCACCUUGUGACUAAAUGUCAGGAUGGGUCCGCAAGCAGCCCAAAUCACAGGGCAGAGCCCAGGGGGACAGGGCGUCCAGUCCCUGGGAAGCCCGGCUUCCUUGGCCAGCACUGCUGGUCAGCAGAGGGGCCAGUUCCCUGUGACAGGGCCACACAUCCGUCCCCUGCAUCACCAACGAUCACAGUCCGGCGCAGGCCCAGGGUCUGUGUCCCGGGCGGCCCUUUGGUCACCAGUCUUCAAGGUGGGCUGUGUUCAUUUCCUCUCAGGUCGGAAUCCAGGCUUCUGCCUCACCCGUCCCAUAAAACACAGGUCCCCUGGUCUGGUGCUGGGCCAACAGCAUCUCGGGGAGUCCCCGAGGACAGGUGUUUCGGACAAUCCCCGGUCCAUAGCACGACCAGAGCAGAGAAGAGAUUGCUACUCCUGGACAGGAAGCGCAGAGUUACCCCAGCUCAGCCAGGGAAAGCCCAUCUUUACUCAGCGGGCAAGUCCCCUGCGAGGCUGGCAUAGGCCACUACACUGCAAGGAUGGGCUCUGGCUUAAAUCUAAAAUAGAAACCCCACUGUGUGAUCGAUUCCUGUUUUGCUCUCAAAGACAAAAUUUGUAUCAGGAAGGAACAGUCAUUUAGCGGGCCAGGUCCAAACAUGCUCCUUUCUGGUUUCUUCCGGUGGUGGGUUUCUGAAGGUCAGCCGUGGGUGGCACCCCUUAGAAUUCUGAGAAAGUCCGGGGCUGCCCCACAGAGCCCCCUGGCGUGGGCAGCCCGUGUCGGUGUCCCCGGGGCCCCUAGAGACGUCACAGCAAAUAUCUGGGUAGAGAGCUACUCACAGCCUUUUAGGGUGUAGAAUGGAAUAAGAAUUUGCUUGCAGCAAACAAGGAAAUGAUUCACGGUUUGAGUCACAGUACUGGCCACGAGGAAUGGGAUGGCAGUGGUCUCUGCAGAGCUGGCCUCCAGGCCCUGGUCCUGACCCUGGCCCUGGCCCUGACCCUGGCCCUGACACUCCCUCGUAACCCUAGAGCCCUUCCAAGACAGGGUUUCCCCAGCCUGCUGUACCCGAAGAGGCCUGUAGGGGGAGUCCGGGCUCAGGCACUGGAUCUCAUUCUCGCACAGCACAGCCUGGCCCCUCUGUCCCCGCGGGUGACCAUCCCAGCGCCGCUGAGUGCAAGUUCUGAUUCAGAACUUGAGGAUGAGCCCGGUGUGGUGGUGCAUCACUCUAGUCCCAGAACUUUGGAGGAGGCUGAGGCAGGAGGAUUGCCACAAGUUUGAUGCCAGCCUGAACUACAUAGUGAGACCCUGUUUCAAAAAAACAAAAAAUAGAACUAAGGAUGACAGGGGGAGGGAGGGGUUGUCAGCCCUGAAUGCCCAGGAUGAGACGUGCUUCUAAUCAGAGCCACCCAGGACCACCAUGUUCCCUUCACGCUCUGCUCAGCUCCUGGGCAACGACGGAUGUUAACAUUUAUUUGCUAGGACCCUUGGUGACCCCGGUUCGACCUCAGCCUGAAGGUGCCCUCCUUGGGCCGCAGAAGUGUUCCUGACCCAGCGCUUUACUGCGCAGUCUCUGGAUCUUGUGCGUGUAAUCAGGUUGCCCAGCCACAUCCUGCCUGUGUGUAUUUGUUUGUUGGUGUGGUCUGUCCUGUUUCUGUUUUUAUAAAGGUUAUCAUGUGGCCAAGGCUGAGCACACAAGUAGAAUUCUUCCUAUGCCCACGGCAAAAAUAUUUGUUUUUAUAAAUUUCCAAUUGUGCCGUGACACACUGAGUUUCUGCACAUUCAGAAUUGUGAAGAGCCUGACUGGCUGGGAGGAGGCCGAAGUGCUGUUUUAACUUAAUAAAUUAAUUAUUUUUCUUCUGUGUG
Fukomys damarensis (Damara mole-rat) is the source of this 2062-nucleotide long non-coding RNA. NCBI's taxonomy places the organism in Eukaryota, Metazoa, Chordata, Mammalia, Rodentia, Bathyergidae. The record is from Ensembl.